This 93-nucleotide transfer RNA is filed under the name Christensenellaceae bacterium. RNAcentral's name for it is "tRNA-Ser". It matches the Rfam family "tRNA". Rfam says of the family: Transfer RNA (tRNA) molecules are approximately 80 nucleotides in length. Their secondary structure includes four short double-helical elements and three loops (D, anti-codon, and T loops). The record is from RNAcentral. Lineage: Bacteria; Bacillati; Bacillota; Clostridia; Christensenellales; Christensenellaceae.
GGAGAAGUACCCAAGUGGCUAUAAGGGGCUCCCCUGCUAAGGGAGUAGGCCGGGGUGACUGGUGCGUGGGUUCGAAUCCCACCUUCUCCGCCA